AGAGAACCCCGGGGCCACAGAGAAUCAGAACGAGCACACUUAACUGCUGUGCUACAGGGCUGGUCCCCCCCAAAGUAAUUUGUAUUGAGCCAACCUUGUUUAUACUUCACCAAUUCACCUCUCCACUUCCCAGCCCUAUGGGAGGAAAAUCCCAGACAAAUGAUUUCGUCCCUCAGUAUUUUGAUCUAGAAAGUAAGGAGUUUUAAAUAGAACUACAAUACUUUUAUUACAAAGAAGUCAACAGUAAUACCUUACUACCCAGUCAGUAUCCAGAUUUCCCUUACUAUCCCUACUGAUGUCUUUUUGUAAUUGGUUUGUUCAGACAAGGUCUGUAUUUUGGCAUUGUUUUUAAUCACAGAUUCUCCAUCUUUUUUUCCUUAAAAUUUAAAGAAGUUGAGUCAUUUGUCCUAAGGAAUAUUCCAUAUUCUGGGUACGCUCAUUGUGACCCCAUGGUGUCACUGAGCACAAUUUUUCUGUCCCUCGUAUUGUAAACUCAUAGAUCUGAAGGCUUGAUAACUUUAAAUUUUUUCCUUAUCUGAAAUUUAGAAGUCUGGAGCCCUAGGCCGUGUGUUCUUCCAGAGUUGGUACUGGACUGCUGCCGAAUUCACCAGGGGUUUCAUUGAGUUCUGAUUCUUAACCCGUUAGUGUUGGUGUGUCACCAUCCUUACACGUCCUUCUGGUUCUGCUAUGUGGGAUGCUGCCUCAGCAUGGCUGGAUGAGCGGUGCUAGGACCACGCCCAGGAUCUGAAUCGGUGAAACCCUGGGCCGCCGAAGCAGAGGCAUGAACUUAACCACGGGGCGGGCCCAAGGUUUUUUAUUAAAGAGCAGAUUUUUAAGAACCAUAUUAAAAGCAUCAGUGUGUUGGGGGCUUAGUUUAGCUGGAGAGACAGAGAAUGUACAUAGGAUUGAUAAGGAAAACCAUCGCUUCCACCCCUGGAAGUGGAAGGCAGCAGCACUCGCUGUGUACUUCGAUCCCCUCACAUCCCCUAGAGUAGCUGUUUGUGUGGCUGGAAGCCACAGCUUCAUUUGUAG
This 1032-nucleotide long non-coding RNA is filed under the name Equus asinus (donkey). Its description in RNAcentral is "lncRNA (ENSEASG00005029199.1)". The record is from RNAcentral. Lineage: Eukaryota; Metazoa; Chordata; Mammalia; Perissodactyla; Equidae.